Molecule: long non-coding RNA, 4064 nt
Organism: Felis catus (domestic cat)
Lineage: Eukaryota; Metazoa; Chordata; Mammalia; Carnivora; Felidae
Exons: 5
Source: RefSeq, a predicted model, not a curated record
GACAAGGAGGAGCUGGUCUUCUAAGCAAAAGCUUGGCCACGAGUAUGGUGGACUUUGAUGCCCGUGAGUUCAAAUUUCCACAUAAUCUUCUUCACUGGCCCUGUCUGGCUGUCCCCAGGGUCCAGUUUUACGCAUUAUGUUGUGUUAAGCCAUUUAUGGCUCCAGAGGAUAAAUGCUACCCCCAAGACAUUAUCUGUUGAGUCAUUAGGUCUUUAACACUAUGACUCAUUAAAUGAGCUCCUGCCAACCAGUGAAAUACCCAGGAAAGGGACACAGAACAGGUAUGUUGUGAAACUUAAACAAAAGAAAGGCAGGGAACCACCUGGCUGCAGACCAACAGGGAAGGGGCCUGGCAGCCCUGGAGGGAGCUCUGCUUGGAGCAGAGAGGGGCCAGAAGACAAACCUCAUCCCCGCAAUCUUCCACUCACCCUGCUUUCAGCAAGCUCUGUCCACUCAGGGCAGCUCCGGGAAGGUGGGGACUUGGUCUGUAUGACUUUAUUCCUUGGUCUGUAAGAGCUCACGCCCACCCCCAUGUGGGCACACUCUCACAUGUGCUGCUAGGCACACAAGGCCAGCUCUGCAGCUGCAGCUGUGACCUCCAGGUCCCAGGGGCCUCUGUCUAGGUUGUUCUUCAUCACUUCCCACGGCUUUCAGUCCCAAAUCUGAACUGCAGAAUCUCUCCAAGACCAGCCUGUCCUCUCACCACCCUCUACCCCUCCAGCCCACAUCUGUCCAGCAUCUCUCCCUGCCUCUGCCCCAUGAAGACCCCUGCUGUCCUCCUUCCUGCUCCUGUCUCUUUCCCUCUCCAGGCCUGCCCAUCUGUCUUGUCCCCUUCCCCAGUAUGCCCUCCCUCCUACCUGAUCUGUCCUUCUUCUCCCCCAGAUCUGUCACAACACUUCUCCCACUCAGUUCUGCCUUGCUAUGUGCCCCUACUCGGUCUUUGGGGCUGUUACUCUGUCCUCUGGCUCCAUCCUGCUCACUCCUCUAUCCCACAUCUGGAGCCACAUCGGGUUCUCAUUAGGAGGGACAGAGGUGAGCCUAUUCAUGGGGACUGAAAUGGGAUGUCAAUCCCCCUCCCGAACAUUAAAAAAUGUACCUGGUACAUCACAGGUGCUCGGUAAAUACCAAUAAACCAGUGAGUGCAUGAAUGAGUAGUACUGAAUAAGUAAUGUGGUAACAAUAACACUGGAAAGCACAGGAGUGGAGAGGACACCUGACAUCCUCAAUCCAGCAUAGUCUUUUUCUUUUUUUAAGUUUUUAAAUGUUUUUAUGUAUUUAUUUUGAGAGACAGAGAAAGUGCAAGCAGGGGAGGGGCAGAGAGAGAGGAGAGAGAGAAUCCCAAGCAGGCCCCUCACUGUCAGCACAGAGCCCAACACGGGCCUCGAUCCCACAAACUGUGAGAUCAUGACCUGAGCCAAGAUCAAGAGUUGGACACUCAACCAACUGAGCCACCCACGUGCCACUCAUCCUAGAAUAUUCUGCAGCACAGAGUAUUUCUCAGGGGGCUCUAACUCCCUAGAAACCCUGGGCCAAGUCCUUUGUGAUCAGUAAGCUCAUCCUGCAACAUCAUCCUGCAAUGCACCCAAACACUGGGCAAGGGGGAAUAACUGCUGUGAAUGAAAGCUGGUACCCGCCUUCAGGCUCAGGAAGCUUGGUGGAUGCAAGCAGCCCCUGACGGGAUCCUCAGCAUUAGUCAGCAUCGAUCCUGAACAUCACCCUCCUCCACCUGGGCUCCCGGAAGCAAAUCAGCACUGGCUGAGCCAGGUUUGGCUCUCAAGGUGGCCCUGCCACAUCAGGCCCUCAGUUAACCCACCGCACACAGCACAGGUCAUUAAGACAUCCUCGACCUGCCUGCCGGACCUACACCACCAGCUCACUGAGGGUGGCCUUCCGGCCAAGGCCAGGAAGCACAAGGGACAAAUUGAGGCAUGAGGUGCUACUGCCCUCUGCUGGCAGCUUCCAAAUAUUCCAGGCCGAUGCCAAAGAGAAGGCCGAACAGGCCAGAAAGGGCAUCCUCCCUCCUUGCACUCAUCCUUCCACUGGGGGACACACAGGAUUGGCCGUUCCCACGGGGCCACAGAACUGGCCACACCCAGGAGAGUCAGCCAGCUUGCAGAGAGAACAGCACAGAAGAUGAGAGAGGAAGAGGAGAGCAGAAAGAAGGAAGCUCACCAACCUCCCAAGGGAUGACCUUAACACCAUCCUUCUCUCUAUCCUGCAAAGAUAAAGAGUUGUCCCACUCCAACACACUGGACACCAUGUCAAAGAGGACAACCCCAAAAGGCAGGGCAGGGAAGGUAUGGGUUCCUUCCAUUUUGCAGAAGAGAAAGGUAGAGGCCCGAAGGGUUGGUGUCCCUCACCCACUGUCACACAGCCUGGCGUGUAAUAAGACCCACAACACAGGGUCUGCCUUCCUUGUCCAGGACUCUGACGUACAAUAUUAAACAAGUGUUUCUGGUCCCUUGUGACAUCCCACAAAGUCUGCAAUCACAAGACCUUGUACUGAAAAAAGCACAUGCCCCCCAACCCUAGACCUGACCCGUCGUUUGCCAACAGCCAGACAUGGUCUGGGAGAGGCUGGGUCUGGCCACCAUCUGUGUUCUCUGUCAUAGGCUGAAAAGCACACUAAACAGAGAUGAGCAGAGGUCCGAGAAAACAGAGCAUCUAGGAACAUGGAGACCUCCCCCCCACUCCCAGCACACCAGGUAGACGGCCCCCAGGAUGCUUACAUGUUGGGCUAGCCACCACACAGCUGCAGGUCAUAUGAUUGGUUUGCUUAACACCAUGACCCUGCUGCUUCCAACAAGUGACCAGCAAGGCCAUCACCAAGGAGAAGCCAAGGCCUUAGAUAAAGGCAGUUGGAGGCUCUGAGCUCACCACAUGCCCACAUCCUCUGUGGUUUGGAAACCUUGUUCCUCUUCUCCGCUGGAGACAGAUUAUGCCCGGCUCAGUGUCCCCAAACUAUCCACCUUCUGCUCCAUCCUCCCUGUUUCUUUUUGGUCUCCCACAGCCACUGCCCUAGCCACUGCCCUGUGCUGCCCCCCCUCCUUCCCUCCCCCAGACUACAGCCAGGGUCAAGGGCACCACUGGCCCUUCCAAGCAGGAUUAAACUUCCAAGCAUAUCCCUCAUCCUUGCUUCUCUGAGUCAGCCACAGGCAACAGCAAAAUGCGUCCCCUGCUCUGGACCGAGGAGCAGGUGACAAAUGGGCAACUUGUACUUCCUCUGGAUUUUUUUUUAAUGCUUAGAGAAGAGAGGAGGAAUAUUUAUUAGUAAGGAAAUGGGACUUGUCGGAGCCUAUGAACGCCCCCACACAUGUCUGCUCUCAAGGAAGAAGAAAGACAAGUUAAGGAAUCCAAGACCCCUGGUGAGCUAUGGAGCAAUCUCUCCGGAAAUAAAAUGUGCACCCAAGCAGGGGCUCCAAUCAGACGCUUUCCCCAGCUAGAAAGGGGAGCCACCAGAGGAGAAAAUGAAGCCCGCCGCCCACUGCUGCCCUCAGUCCUGGCUGCUCUGGGGCUCACUUCCAGCCGCAGUCCUUGCUGACCAUCCCUGACCCUCCGUGCCGCCUCAGGAUGAGGACCGGCUCCUUUCUGACCCCAGCACUCAGUACUGCCGGGCUUCGUGUCCAGAUCCUUCCAUGUGGCUGGCACCCUGCCCCUGAUGCUACUGGGCCUCCACUGCACUGUGACCCCUUCUCCCCGGUCUCCUUAGCCAGACACCAUCCCUGCCAUCUGCCUUUCUUGGCCACUCUCAAUAAAAGCUACAUUUCCCAGCCUUCCUUGCUGACAGAUGUGACCCACGGCCAAGGGAUGUGAGCAGAGCCUAUGUAAACAACUUCCAGGUGAUGGUUUUAAAGGAAGGAGCAGGCCUUCCCUUCCUCCUCUGCCUCUUCCCACUGGCUGGACUGCAGACGAGCUGGUGAGAUGUAUGGGUGGUGCCACCAUAAGAACAACAGAGCAGCAACAGAAGACACCUGCAACCCUGACACCGCGGAGUUGCAGUGCUGUCCCAGGACCACUCGUGCUCAGACUGCUACCUGUGAAAGAGAAAUAAAUUCUCACGUAUA